This is a long non-coding RNA of Cyprinus carpio carpio, 876 nucleotides long. Lineage: Eukaryota; Metazoa; Chordata; Actinopteri; Cypriniformes; Cyprinidae. The record is from Ensembl.
CAUCUUUAGCGCUUUCCGUUCAGUGUCGCCGUUCUCACUUUUUUUUUUUUAAUAGAUUUUUAUAUGACACACAUAAUUACAGAAACUUUAGCGUUUUGUUAAAACUCUCGAGACCAUGGUUACUGAAAGAGUUAUUCUGGAUGUCGCACAAUUUCGCCUUUUAAAUAUACUGUUAUGAACUUAUAACGCUAGAAUUCGUUGCAUUUGUUAUUAUGGAUUUCUGCGGUAUGGCAAUACGUUUAACAUGACGUGACACUUGUGCUGUGUUGCUCUCCAAGGAAACCGAUGCUCAGAGAACCAGCACUAAUGUUCUACUACUACUUAUUGGAAAUUGUCAGAACAUGAUGGAUGUGGAUCAUCAUGCUUUGCAGAAGGCUGGGGAGAAGUUUGCAUUCAUUUUAUAAAAAGCUGAAACCACUCCUCUGAAUUGGUGACAGUCUUUCAAGAACCCCCAUGAUCCAGCGUCCCUCCCAAUGGUACAACCUGUCAGCCCUGAACAUGGAGAGUUAUAAGGGGAAAACUUAGCGAUACGGUGACCUUGAUGAUAGUGUGACAGUCAUCGGUGAAGAACUUUGUUCCACCUGGAGGAGAUGAAGAUAUUUAGGUCCAUGUAAAUAAGCCCAUUUAGGUGCCGCUAGCAUCAGCUCAUGCUAAAAUAAAGACUGUUUUUGGAGGACGCAAUGGGCUUGCAUGAGACAAGUACUCCCAGAGAAGAGGAGGACACACCCCGGACAGAAGGAAAAAAAGUCAUACAGGUUUGGAAUGACAUGAGGGCCGAUAUCUCCCGGCAAGGCCUAAGAGGGGUGGCAGAUGCCCAGCUAUGGAUGGCCUACAUGUGCCCUUUGAGUGAUACAUACCAGGGCAAGUUCUCAUAAC